This 490-nucleotide ribosomal RNA is filed under the name uncultured bacterium. RNAcentral describes it as "partial 16S ribosomal RNA". It matches the Rfam family "Bacterial small subunit ribosomal RNA", at positions 899 to 1397 of the family's 1533-position model. The record is from RNAcentral.
ACUCAAAUGAAUUGACGGGGACCCGCACAACUGGUGGAGCGUGUGGUUUAAUUCGAGACGAAGCGAAACACCUUACCAGGGUUUGACAUGAUACCGUACAGCCUUUUGGAAACAAGAGGCAAUCCGCAAGGAUGGUACCACAGGUGAUGCAUGGCUGUCGUCAGCUCGUGCCGUGAGGUGUUCCCUUAAGUGGGGAAACGAGCGCAACCCGUAUUUAAUGUUACAUAUUCAUUAAAGACUGCUCCAGAUUUUCUGGAGAGGAAGGAGCGGAAGACGUCAAGUCAGCACGUCCCUUAUACCCUGGGUCACACACACCCUACAAUGGCGAACAACAAUGAGCUGCAAGCCGGUGACGGCAAGCUAAUCUCAGAAAUUUCGCCUCAGUUCAGAUUGGAGUCUGCAACCCGACUCCAUGAAGCCGGAAUCAGUAGUAAUCGCGGAUCAGAAGGCCGCGGUGAAUACGUUCUCGGGUCUUGUACACACCGCCCGU